CCAGGAUACGCCGCCUGCCCCGCGAGUCCUCGGCCCGCGUCCGCAUCCGGUAACCGUGCCUCCCGCCCCCUCAGCGGCGCCUUAUAUGUCGCCCACGGCCGCCGCUGGGCCAUGGAGCGCGCCCGCCGGCCCCCGCGAUGAAGCUGCCAGAGCGGCUGCUGCUAGACAGACUCGCCUACCUGGAGUGCGUCCUGGGCGUCCUGUCCUUCCUGGUGCUCAGGCUGGCUCGCCCGCCCUACGGGCGCUACGUGCCGCCGAGCUCCGCGUUCCAGCUGCCGGCGCGGGUCGCCUGGGCUGUGCAGGAGCUACCCUCGCUGGUCGUGCCGCUCGUCGUGUGCUGCUGCGCGGAGACCGAGCGCCUCCACAGCUGGCCCAACCGCAUCCUGCUGGCUAUGUUCCUCGUCCACUACACGCAACGGUCCUUAAUUUUCCCAUUUCUGAUCCGAGGAGGAAAGCCAACACCAGUGAGGACAUGUAUAGUGGCAUUCACGUUCUGUACCUAUAAUGGCUACUUGCAAAGCAGAUACUUGAGCCAGUGUGCAGUGUAUGCUGAUGAUUGGGUCACUGACCCCCGAUUCCUAGCAGGUUUUGUCUUAUGGUUAAUAGGUACUCUGAUAAACAUCCAUUCAGAUCAUAUCCUAAGGAAUCUCAGGAAACCAGGGGAGACUGGAUAUAAAAUACCACGGGGAGGCUUGUUUGAAUACGUAACCGCAGCCAACUACUUUGGUGAGGUCGUGGAGUGGUGUGGCUUUGCCCUUGCCAGCUGGUCCCCCCAGGCCGGGGCUUUCGCUCUGUUCACAGCCUGCAGCUUAUUCAGCAUAGCCCAGCAUCAUCACCACCUGUUCAUCAGACUUGAUGACAAAAAGCAAGAUUUGUGACCAUUUGGAAAGUGUUUCCUCAGCUCUCCAGGAUCUGUCUGCACCAAAGGAAGACUGCUGUGAGGGAAAUUUGGGAAUACUGAGCUGUUUGUGGUAUAUUGAAAAAUUUGAGGAUUAUCCGAAGUUCAGAAAAACUAUAAUUCCAUUUUUGUUUUAAAUCCAUUGUCAUCUUUGACUUGAAGCUUUUUGAUGGCUUUUCUCUAGGGAUUAUAUAAAUGAAUUAUCUAUGAUUUUGCCACUACAUCUUUUUGUCCUAAUUUGCUCUAGGAAUUUUUUCCCUAGUGAAUGUGUAAGCUACCUAAUAAUAAUGCAGGUUGAGGCACUAUGCUGCCUACCAGGUGGAAUGUGAAACGGGGCGAUUACUGCUGCCCACUUCUCUGAUUUUGGAUGUACCUUUUCUGGCUACAUGCAGCCACGUGUGCACAGGACCAGAAUUUGCGAGCCAUCUUUGAUGGCCUCUGUGGACCAAACUAUUUCACAACCCGUACAACAACUGACUCACGGUCACUUCUGAUGUUGCCUUCUCCCCCCAGAGGCGUGACCCAUCUCUGCUGUCCCUUAUCCCACUGAAUCAGAGAGACCUGGGGCACUGGUCACAGCCUCAGGGAAACCCUGGGCCCUCACCCUUGGGGGCUGUGCAGGCAAGGACGCAGAAGCACAGCUGAGGCCUGGACCAAAGGCAUCCAGCACUUGGCUCUGGCCUCGCCUGUCAGGUGACUUCACCAGCAGGGCGGCAAGCGGAGGGCAUGCAUCAGGAGCUUGCCCAAAGGGACCUGUCACUCCACAGUGGCAGUGCCAAGGUGCAACGUGGCAGGCCCCUUCUCCGGCCUCAUCAUAAGCCAGCAGUGAGCAGGCUCCACUCUGAGACGGUCAUCUUCCUUUUCUCCUUCCUUUUGGUGUAAUGAAGUUUUUAAGGCACUUUUUUUUUUAAGUGCCCCUCAAUGUUGCAAAACGAUAUUUUGGAACAGAAUUCCUUACUGCAGAUGCACAUGAAAUAUCCCCAGAGAUAAAUGGCAGUAAUACAAUUUGCUGCAGAGCCACAGACCCUAAGAGAAAUGGAAACAAAGAAAUGGAUUUGGGUUCUCUGCAGUCACUAGGGUGCUGGCUGGCAGGAGGCCUCGGGGUGCCCAGAAGCUGUGUGUUCUGUGGAUGCACCUCCUGCCACUUUGGGCAGUGGGCAGGCCCCCCUGGCUAGGUCAUUGGCUCCCUCCAGCCUUCUCUUGGCUCACCUUCCCAACAAGGCCUCCCCAGCCCCUCACGAGCCCUGACAUAGAAACUGUAUUCUCAGUGUUGGGGGAUUUAGAGUCUCUUAUGGGCUUAGAAUAACACAAAAAACUCUCCUGAUGUCCUUGUGCUUCAUUUUAACUAAAAAUAAUGUUUUGGCAAAGAGAUUUUUAUUAUUAAGUAAAUGUUGGGCCUUUUUCUGACCAAAUAGUUACUUGAAAACAUAAAGCAAUAAAUGCUUUGGAACUCCUCAGGAAAACGCAAAAGUCCAAGGGAGAUUGGGGCCCAUGUCCUGGAAGGUAUACCUGGCCAGGAGAAGGCAGCAUGCCUGAGCACCGGAAACGCUGCUGUGAAGUGUACGGCAGUUGGUGAUUAGUUUAUCACGCUUACUACUGUAAUGGCAUGCACUGCGGGGGAUUCACAUGAAGAAAUCCUAUUCUAUCUUGUCUCACCGCUGUCUGUAUCCUAAAACCUCUUAACUUGGUAAAUUGUCAUCAAUCAUUCAGUUAAUUUUAAUAAUCGAGAUUAAUAAAAUUGCUGCUACAAGUCUA
Manis pentadactyla (Chinese pangolin) is the source of this 2653-nucleotide RNA transcript. It is a transcript of the gene named steroid 5 alpha-reductase 1, with no coding region annotated. The transcript has 6 exons. Lineage: Eukaryota; Metazoa; Chordata; Mammalia; Pholidota; Manidae. The record is from RefSeq and is a predicted model, not a curated record.